CCUCGUGCAGCCCAAAGCCUUGCUGCCCUUAUGCACUUUUAGGAUCUCUUCUGUAACUUCAGUUUCUGCAAAUGUUUCAAUUAUUUGCUGCCUUUCAUUUCCACAGGAGAACAGCACACAUCCUGCCCUCCAGAGAAGUUAAACUCCGCUGUUGCGGCCCGUGCUGAACCCUUAGCUUCCAGUGGAAGAGCUGGGGAUCUCCCAGCAAGUCAGCAUCCGCUAAAAGGGAACUAACAUCCUACAGUCAGGACUGCCAACAUUGCUAUGGAAACCCCCCAAAAAUAAAGACUUUCCCAGCCUUGUGAGAGCACACCUGCAAGAACAAGAAUUGCAGUUAGCCUUUUGCCUGUCAAAAACUACUCUCCUUCAAUAUCAGUGUCGCUUAAGGACAUCUUUUAUGUUUGGUAUGAUUUGUUAUCUUAAAAUUUGUA
RNAcentral lists this long non-coding RNA (431 nucleotides) under Struthio camelus australis. RNAcentral's name for it is "lncRNA (ENSSCUG00000014013.1)". Lineage: Eukaryota; Metazoa; Chordata; Aves; Struthioniformes; Struthionidae. The record is from RNAcentral.